Lolium perenne is the source of this 1056-nucleotide long non-coding RNA. RefSeq lists it as uncharacterized. Lineage: Eukaryota; Viridiplantae; Streptophyta; Magnoliopsida; Poales; Poaceae. The record is from RefSeq and is a predicted model, not a curated record.
CUCCCGGAUUCCAAGCCAUGACCAGAUUUAUGGAAACCUAGCGCCGCCGCCUUUAGAUAUCCCGGCAGUGCCUCUCUCCGGCGAACCCUGCGCAGCGCCUCUCCGCCGAACCCUGCGCGGCGCCUGGCGACAAUCAUAGUUUGCUGGUACAAGAUAUGUUUGUUUUGCUGCGCAGAGUCCUGAUCCGGUCGGACUCGGUGCGACGGUGCGCUCUCCCAUGAAAUUGUGGCUUUCUCCUCAUCGCACAUCGUACGUCACCAGGCCAUGACGGAUCUUUGCCAGCAAUUCCGAACAAACAAUCAAGGGUCCAUAGGAAUGCUGGUACGAAGUUUGUAGAGCCUCCCAAGUACAACACUAAAAGUUCACUACAAUUACAGUCUAUCCAAGCAGCAAAUUGAUGGCCAUUUCUUUAGCUAGCAUUUUCACGUUGAUAUAACCUUGACCUUCCUUGAGUUCUUUAUGUGUAAUUAGAGAUGUAAAUUACAUCGCUUACGUAGUCGUGACCAAGGGCAAACCUUGACCAAGUAUUAUAUAGCUCAGGUUGUUAUACCUUUCAUCAUAUUUUAUUUAAAUUGUCUCCAAUCAAAACCACCAACAUUUGUUUCUUAAAGGGCUUCAACCAAAAUGCAUCAUAGCUUCAAGUUUUACUGCUAGAAGCGAAAGGUUUGGAAUAUGCAUCAUAAGGGUGUUGCUGCAUCAGGCUGGUUGUAGCUACAUGCUGAAGCUAAUAAGUCAUUUGUGAUGUUCGCUAAUUACCCUGAUCCUAAGAAGGUGCAUACUUUGGCCAACGUUGAAAAAUUACUGCAAAUGAUUUGAAAUUUGAUGAAUCACAGUAAAAGACCAAAUGGAAAAUAUCACAUGAUGCAGUGAAGAUCCAUCGGUGUUGAAGUAGUACAUGCAAAAGCUUAGAUAGAUUCCAGCUAGUCCCCAAUUUGUUUGGGAAAAGGUUUUGAUGUUGCUGCUGUUGUUGUAUACCUUUACCACUCUUUUAUAUUUACCCACGGCUCAGUUGUAAAGAAUAAGAUCUCUUGAUUAAUAUAUAAUAUAUUUAUAUCC